AAUCAACGCUGGCGGCGUGCCUCAGACAUGCAAGUCGAACGCGAAAGUUUCCUUCGGGAGACAAGUAGAGUGGCGCACGGGUGAGUAACACGUAGGUAAUCUACCUUUGGAUGGGGAAUAACAACCGGAAACGGUUGCUAAUACCGCAUAAUGCAGCGGCACCUAAUGGUGACAGUUGUUAAAGCGGGGGAUCGAAAGACCUCGCGUCUAAAGAGGAGCCUGCGGCGGAUUAGCUUGNGGUAAGGUAACGGCUUACCAAGGCUACGAUCUGUAUCCGGUCUAAGAGGACGGUCGGACACACUGACACUGAAUAACGGGUCAGACUCCUACGGGAGGCAGCAGUCGGGAAGUUUUGGGCAAUGGGCGAAAGCCUGACCCACGCAACGCCG
This 389-nucleotide ribosomal RNA is filed under the name uncultured bacterium. Its description in RNAcentral is "bacterial SSU rRNA". It matches the Rfam family "Bacterial small subunit ribosomal RNA", at positions 32 to 399 of the family's 1533-position model. The record is from RNAcentral.